GAUGAAGAACGUAGCGAAAUGCGAUAAGUAGUGUGAAUUGCAGAAUUCCGUGAAUCAUCGAAUCUUUGAACGCACAUUGCGCCUCCUGUAGUCCGGGAGGCAUGCCUGUUCGAGCGUCACCAAAUCCAACUCAAGCGGUUUUGCGCUUGGUCGUGGCGGAAGAGUCGGUCUGGUUGCCGUCUCCCCUCCGAAAAUCAACGGCGGAAAGUCACUGGCAGUCAGCGUAGUAGUAUCGUUCGCCGAACAUCCAGUGGCAUUCCUGCCGACGUACCCCCACAAUUCUCGUGAUUGACCUCGGAUCAGGUAGGGAUACCCGCUGAACUUAAGCAUAUCAAUAAGCGGAGGA
This 346-nucleotide unclassified non-coding RNA is filed under the name soil metagenome. Its description in RNAcentral is "partial contains 5.8S ribosomal RNA, internal transcribed spacer 2, and large subunit ribosomal RNA". The stretch from base 1 to 119 matches the Rfam family "5.8S ribosomal RNA", at positions 35 to 154 of the family's 154-position model. The record is from RNAcentral.